Molecule: ribosomal RNA, 439 nt
Filed under: uncultured bacterium
Lineage: Bacteria
Description: partial 16S ribosomal RNA
Rfam family: Bacterial small subunit ribosomal RNA
Source: RNAcentral
CCUACGGGAGGCAGCAGUGGGGAAUAUUGCACAAUGGGCGAAAGCCUGAUGCAGCAACGCCGCGUGAGCGAUGAAGGCCUUCGGGUCGUAAAGCUCUGUCCUCAAGGAAGAUAAUGACGGACCUUGAGGAGGAAGCCCCGGCUAACUACGUGCCAGCAGCCGCGGUAAUACGUAGGGGGCUAGCGUUAUCGGGAAUUACUGGGCGUAAAGGGUGCGUAGGUGGUUUCUUAAGUCAGAGGAGAAGGGCUACGGCAAAGGCGGAAUAAGCCUUUGAAACUGGGAAACUUGAGUGCAGAAGAGGAGAGUGGAAUUCCUGGUGUAGCGGUGAAAUGCGUAGAUAUUAGGAAGAACACCAGUUGCGAAGGCGACUCUCUGACCUGUAACUGACGCUGAGGCACGAAAGCGUGGGGAGCAAACAGGAUUAGAUACCCCGGUAGUC